This 253-nucleotide ribosomal RNA is filed under the name uncultured bacterium. RNAcentral describes it as "partial 16S ribosomal RNA". It matches the Rfam family "Bacterial small subunit ribosomal RNA", at positions 524 to 776 of the family's 1533-position model. The record is from RNAcentral.
GACAGAGGGUGCAACCGUUGUUCGGAAUUACUGGGCGUAAAGCGCGUGUAGGCGGCUCGGCAAGUCGGGUGUGAAGGCCCUGGGCUUAACCUAGGAAGUGCACUCGAAACUGCCAAGCUUGAGUUCUGGAGAGGAAGGCGGAAUUCUCGGUGUAGAGGUGAAAUUCGUAGAUAUCGAGAGGAACACCGGUGGCGAAGGCGGCCUUCUGGACAGCAACUGACGCUGAGACGCGAAAGCGUGGGGAGCAAACAGG